Molecule: long non-coding RNA, 212 nt
Filed under: Elaeis guineensis (African oil palm)
Lineage: Eukaryota; Viridiplantae; Streptophyta; Magnoliopsida; Arecales; Arecaceae
Description: long non-coding RNA (EGUI_LNC076291)
Source: RNAcentral
GAUGCUGCAGUGGUGUGAGUGGUCCUUUCACCUGUGGUGUCAUCGAUAAUUCACAGCGAAGCUACUGAGUUUGACUAGACGUUCUCUUGGUCUCUAGCCAUUCGGAUCCUUGCUGUGUAUGUUGGCUACGAUAGGUUCAGAUUCGCUGUUAGGAGUAAGAUGCACCUAAAAAAAAUCUAUCAACCUUGAUAGAAAAAGAAAAGUCUUAUGCG